CCUACGGGGGGCUGCAGUGAGGAAUAUUGGUCAAUGGACGCAAGUCUGAACCAGCCAUGCCGCGUGCAGGAAGACGGCUCUAUGAGUUGUAAACUGCUUUUGUACGAGGGUAAAUCCCGCUACGUGUAUCGGGUUGAAAGUAUCGUACGAAUAAGGAUCGGCUAACUCCGGGCCAGCAGCCGCGGUAAUACGGAGGAUGAGAGCGUUAUCCGGAUUUUGUGGGUUUAACGGGCACGCAGGCGGAAGAUCAAGUCAGAGGUAACAUUGAGAGGUUAAACCUUUUCGAGCCGUUGAAACUGGUUUUCUUGAGUGAGCGAGAAGUAUGCGGAAUGCGUGGUGUAGCGGUGAAAUGCAUAGAUAUCACGCAGAACUCCGAUGGCGAAGGCAGCAUACCGGCGCUCAACUGACGCUCAUGCACGAAAGUGUGGGUAUCGAACAGGAUUAGAUACCCUAGUAGUC
Molecule: ribosomal RNA, 459 nt
Filed under: uncultured bacterium
Lineage: Bacteria
Description: partial 16S ribosomal RNA
Rfam family: Bacterial small subunit ribosomal RNA
Source: RNAcentral